GGGAUUGCCCCAGUAACGGCGAGUGAAGCGGCAACAGCUCAAAUUUGAAAUCUGGCCCCCAGGGUCCGAGUUGUAAUUUGCAGAGGAUGAUUUUGGCGAGGUGCCUUCCGAGUUUCCCUGGAACGGGACGCCACAGAGGGUGAGAGCCCCGUCUGGUUGGACGCCGAGCCUAUGUAAAUCUCCUUCGACGAGUCGAGUAGUUUGGGAAUGCUGCUCUAAAUGGGAGGUAUAUGUCUUCUAAAGCUAAAUAUUGGCCAGAGACCGAUAGCGCACAAGUAGAGUGAUCGAAAGAUGAAAAGCACUUUGAAAAGAGGGUUAAAUAGUACGUGAAAUUGUUGAAAGGGAAGCGCUCAUGACCAGACUUGGGCCCGGUGAAUCAUCCAGCGUUCUCGCUGGUGCACUUUGCCGGGCUCAGGCCAGCAUCAGUUUGCCCCGGGGGAUAAAGGCUUGGGGAAUGUGGCUCCUCCGGGAGUGUUAUAGCCCAUUGCAUAAUAUCCUGGGGCGGACUGAGGUUCGCGCAUCUGCAAGGAUGCUGGCGUAAUGGUCAUCAGCGACCCGUCUUGAAACACGGACCAAGGAGUCGUCUUCGUAUGCGAGUGUUCGGGUGUAAAACCCCUACGCGUAAUGAAAGUGAACGCAGGUGAGAGCUUCGGCGCAUCAUCGACCGAUCCUGAUGUUCUCGGAUGGAUUUGAGUAAGAGCAUACGGGGCCGGACCCGAAAGAAGGUGAACUAUGCCUGUAUAGGGUGAAGCCAGAGGAAACUCUGGUGGAGGCUCGCAGCGGUUCUGACGUGCAAAUCGAUCGUCAAAUAUGGGCAUGGGG
This 822-nucleotide ribosomal RNA is filed under the name Metapochonia variabilis. Its description in RNAcentral is "eukaryotic LSU rRNA". It matches the Rfam family "Eukaryotic large subunit ribosomal RNA", at positions 71 to 922 of the family's 3401-position model. The record is from RNAcentral. Lineage: Eukaryota; Fungi; Ascomycota; Sordariomycetes; Hypocreales; Clavicipitaceae.